This 103-nucleotide microRNA precursor is filed under the name Marmota monax (woodchuck). The record is from RNAcentral. Lineage: Eukaryota; Metazoa; Chordata; Mammalia; Rodentia; Sciuridae.
ACUGAGAUAGCUGGGUCAAAUGGUGGUUCCAUUUCAAGUUUUUUAAGGAAUCUCCAUACUGCUUUCCAGAUUGGUUGCACCAUUUUACAGUUCCACCAGCAAU